This 30-nucleotide small RNA is filed under the name Bombyx mori (domestic silkworm). RNAcentral describes it as "ovarian small RNA-26693". The record is from RNAcentral. Lineage: Eukaryota; Metazoa; Arthropoda; Insecta; Lepidoptera; Bombycidae.
UCCACGGAAUUCGGAGCAUUCGUCUCCAGC